GAUGAACGCUGGCGGCGUGCCUAAUACAUGCAAGUCGAGCGAACAGACGAGGAGCUUGCUCCUCUGACGUUAGCGGCGGACGGGUGAGUAACACGUGGAUAACCUACCUAUAAGACUGGGAUAACUUCGGGAAACCGGAGCUAAUACCGGAUAAUAUAUUGAACCGCAUGGUUCAAUAGUGAAAGACGGUUUUGCUGUCACUUAUAGAUGGAUCCGCGCCGCAUUAGCUAGUUGGUAAGGUAACGGCUUACCAAGGCGACGAUGCGUAGCCGACCUGAGAGUGUGACCGGCCACACUGGAACUGAGACACGGUCCAGACUCCUACGGGAGGCAGCAGUAGGGAGUAUUCCGCAAGGGGCGAAAGCCUGACGGAGCAACGCCACGUGAGUGAUAAAGGUCUUCGGAUCGUAAAACUCUGUUAUUAGGGAAGAACAAAUGUGUAAGUAACUAAGCACGUCUUGACGGUACCUAAUAAGAAAGCCACGGCUAACUACGUG
Molecule: ribosomal RNA, 497 nt
Filed under: uncultured bacterium
Lineage: Bacteria
Description: partial 16S ribosomal RNA
Rfam family: Bacterial small subunit ribosomal RNA
Source: RNAcentral